CCUUGAAAUACCACCCUUUAAUGUUUGAUGUUCUAACGUGGACCCGUGAUCCGGGUUGCGGACAGUGUCUGGUGGGUAGUUUGACUGGGGCGGUCUCCUCCUAAAGAGUAACGGAGGAGCACGAAGGUUGGCUAAUCCUGGUCGGACAUCAGGAGGUUAGUGCAAUGGCAUAAGCCAGCUUGACUGCGAGCGUGACGGCGCGAGCAGGUGCGAAAGCAGGUCAUAGUGAUCCGGUGGUUCUGAAUGGAAGGGCCAUCGCUCAACGGAUAAAAGGUACUCCGGGGAUAACAGGCUGAUACCGCCCAAGAGUUCAUAUCGACGGCGGUGUUUGGCACCUCGAUGUCGGCUCAUCACAUCCUGGGGCUGAAGUAGGUCCCAAGGGUAUGGCUGUUCGCCAUUUAAAGUGGUACGCGAGCUGGGUUUAGAACGUCGUGAGACAGUUCGGUCCCUAUCUGCCGUGGGCGCUGGAGAACUGAGGGGGGCUGCUCCUAGUACGAGAGGACCGGAGUGGACGCAUCACUGGUGUUCGGGUUGUCAUGCCAAUGGCACUGCCCGGUAGCUAAAUGCGGAAGAGAUAAGUGCUGAAAGCAUCUAAGCACGAAACUUGCCCCGAGAUGA
Molecule: ribosomal RNA, 618 nt
Filed under: Salmonella enterica
Lineage: Bacteria; Pseudomonadati; Pseudomonadota; Gammaproteobacteria; Enterobacterales; Enterobacteriaceae
Also listed under: 1 other name
Description: partial 23S ribosomal RNA
Rfam family: Bacterial large subunit ribosomal RNA
Source: RNAcentral